Long non-coding RNA from Musa acuminata AAA Group (dessert banana), 3407 nucleotides. RefSeq lists it as uncharacterized. NCBI's taxonomy places the organism in Eukaryota, Viridiplantae, Streptophyta, Magnoliopsida, Zingiberales, Musaceae. The record is from RefSeq and is a predicted model, not a curated record. The transcript has 3 exons.
CGUCAAAUUCAUCCUUCAAAUGUGCACGCAACGUCAACAAUUGCAAUGCUUCUGAGAAGACUCAUGUGUGCCGACUAAGUAUUCGGAUGCCUAUUCCACUUCCGGUCGAAGAAACACGGUUUCCCGGCGAGCUGAAGACAUCAAGAUUCACAAAAACUCAUCUUUCACGGCGAACUAUUUGUCUACCAUCGAUAAGCGACGGGGUUAAGUUGUUUGGAAGUACCGAUAUGAUUCGACGAAAGCACGGGUAUUCUUUUCGUUCUAGUUUUCCUCUUCCCAUCCCGGCUUCGUUACGAAGACGCGAGGCGCGAAGAGAAGAGAAGGUUAAGAGCCGUUGCGAGUGACGGGAACGCCGAUCUCAGUCUCUAUCGAUCGAUCCCCGCCGUAAAUCCCGUAGAUCGGUGAUCGCACGGCUCGGAUCCCGCCGGCCGGUCGCCGGAGAUGAAUAUCUUCAGGUUAGCGGGCGACAUGACGCAUCUCAUUAGCGUCCUCGUCCUUCUCCUCAAGAUCCACACCAUCAAGUCCCGGUACGUAUUUCCCUCUCCGUCUUUGGUUUCGCUUGCAGUCCGAUUUGAAUAGUUAGGCUUUUAGGAUUUGGUGCUGGAAGGAGAGAUCUUCGAAGCAUCCUAUUUAUUUUCUUGAUAGAGUGGAGCAGAUCACGUCUGACCGUGGAGUUGGGUCACGAUCUGAAUGCCUGCUGCCUAUUUAUGCCCUGCUAAAGAGUAGAACUAAGACACUAGAAAGCUAUUCUACAUCAGUAAAGAAAGUGUCACAGCGUGACCAGAGCCUUGCCAACCCUCCUAAUCAAGUUAGGGAAAGGAUUAUUGAAGCUCUAUCACUAAGUCAUGAUGGUGAUCUCUGAUAAGUGUCGUCUAUUGUUCUGUUAAAUUUUAACUGUAUUAUUAUCAUUUUUUAGUUGAGAUUUUAGGAAACAUGUGGAGUGCAAUUUGGAGCUUAUUUUGCGUCAAGAGUACUAAAAUAAUAUAGCAUGUUAGCUAGUUGUUUAGCUACAAGGACUCAUAACUGGGGACUUCUAGAGGUCUUUUUUGGCGGGUCUUAAAAUUGAGAAAAUAACAAAAGUUAAAACUCUCUCAAAUACUGUCUCUCAGUAAGCUAUAUGUUUAUCAGCGACUAAAAGCUCUCGAGACAUGAUUAUGAUUGGUUAUUAUAUUUGUACAAUAAAAUAUUUAUAAUUUCAGAACUCCCUGUCUUAUUCAUUCUUGUAGAGUUUUUUUUUUUCCUUUUUAAAUUUGAGAAGUGCUCGAUAGGAGUGACAUAUCCUAUCAAAAAAUGAAAGGAAAGGAAAGAUGCAAGGAAUAAUGCUUUCUCUUCCAUCCACUGAUGGCUUCAGUAUUAUUUAUAUCUCUUUUGUUUUUUUAUAUGGUCAUUUGAGCAUUUAACUAUAUUUUAUUUGACUGGCUCGACCAUGUAUGAUCUACAUAUUCAACUACUCAGAUUCUAUCAUGUUCUAAGAAUUCAUCUUGUCUUACAAACCAUAUCACUAUUUGCUAUUGACAUAGUUAAAUCAUAAAUGAGAUGCAAUAAGGAUGAACUGAUAUAAAAUUUUGCUUGCCAUUCUUGUAACUUUGUCAUAUGGUUCACAAUAGCUAGUCCCUGAUUUGCUUCACCUCCUUUAUGUUUUUAAUACAUGAUAUCUCUUGAUGCAUAUAUGUUCAAACAAACCAUGAAGUUUUAUACCUCUCAUCAUCAGAGCCAACAAGAGGUAUAUGAUCACUUUUCCUGAUCAUUUUGUGUACCAUUCUUUGUUUUUUUUUUUCUUUUUGCUCACUUGUUUCCUUGUCUUGUAUUUUCUCCUCGAUGUUGUCAUUCUAAUUAUGGAUUUUUUGGGAAAGUACAUUUUGAUGCAUGUGCAACUGUGUGCUUCUCUUGAAAGGUAAUGACCACAAAUGCAUUUUUAUUUGUCAGUUUGAUAAUUUACUAUCUCUCAGUCAGAAUGAAGUAUUAUUUUCCCUUAAUCUGAUGCAAGUUUUUAUCCAUCUUUUUCUGAAUCUAACUGACCAUCAAUAAUCUAUUCUGGUUGGUUGCUUUAUCAACAUAAGAAACCUCAUGAUUAAGUUAUUCCUCCUAAGUGAUUCUCUUCAAUGUAUGUUAUUACAACUGGUUUCUAGUAUUACUAGAUAUCAUAAAGAUUUUAUUUUUCCAAAUGAACUAACUCUCAAACUUGACAUCUAUUUUGUGGCUACUUCUUGUUUGGAUCUUGAUUGUCUUUCUGGUGUAUUUAAUCUUGGAUUUUUUAAUCUUUGUUUUAAAAAAAACUCUUUCCUUUACAUAAAGUUGGUUAUAUUUUAUGUGUAUAACUUGACAUAGUUCAUGUUAUUUUCUAACAGGCAUUUCUCUGAAGACACAAGAACUUUAUGCCCUUGUUUUUGCCACUCGAUACUUGGAUGUUGGAUCUUGUAUGGAGAUUCAUGUCAAUGACAUAAGAUUUUGGAUUUUGGAUCUUGAUCCUUUUUUUUCGGAAAAAAAAACUCUUUCCACUACAUAAAGUUGGUUUUAUUGUAUGUGUAUAACUUGACAUGGUUCAUGUCAUUUUCUCACGGGCAUUUCUCUGAAGACACAAGAGCUUUAUGCCCUUGUUUUUGCCACUCGAUACUUGGAUAUUUUUACUGAUUUUGUCUCAGUCUAUAAUACGACGAUGAAACUUAUUUUCUUGGGGAGCUUGUUCUCAAUUGUCUGGUACAUGAGAUGACACAAGUUGUCCGUAGAUCUUAUGACAAGGACCAACACACUUUUCGUCACUUCGUUCUUGCAUUACCAUGCCUAGUUCUGGCUUUAGUUAUAAAUGAAAAGUUCACAUUUAAGGAGGUAAGCUCAUGUAUUUGGCAGGAUUAUUUCUUUCUUAAAAAAUUCUUCAAUCAAACAAGAUUUGCCAAUCAUAUCUUGUAAUUAAUGUAUCAUUAUGACUGGAAUAGGUUUUGUUUGGAAUUGUUCCUGAGUAUAUUCCCUUCUCUAUCUUCAUGCUUCUACGCCAAGUGUCCUGAUUUCUUUUUUCAUGACAGGUUAUGUGGACAUUCUCCCUAUAUUUGGAAGCAGUUGCAAUACUUCCUCAGCCGGUAUUGUUGCAAAGGACAAAAAAUAUAGACAACUUGACUGUUCAAUAUGUUUUCUUCUAGGAGCAUACAGAGCAUACAGAGCAUUUGACAUCCUAAACUGGAUUUACUGCUACUUCACUGAGCCUCACUGUGUUCAUUGGAUAAUUGGAAGAACAAUGUCAAGCUCAAGCUACCAGCAUGAUUUGGUCUUAUUUCAAGGUCAACCAACCGUGGUAGGAUCUAGCCAUAAUGUGUGAGGAGUUACUCUUCUGGAGGCUUACUCUUGUGAAUUCCAUUCUCUUGUUUGAGUCCUUCAAGUUGCCCUAUCGUUUUAACAUGUCAAGAGUCAUUUUU